Molecule: non-coding RNA, 1311 nt
Organism: Ciona intestinalis (vase tunicate)
Lineage: Eukaryota; Metazoa; Chordata; Ascidiacea; Phlebobranchia; Cionidae
Source: RefSeq, a predicted model, not a curated record
UAACACGCUUUUUGUUGAAACAUCUGUUUACAAGUCAGUGGUUAAACUGUUGCAUUAGUAUGUAAGUUCUAAACAGAACAGAAUUGCGGCAUUGCUAAAACAUGCUGCAUAGGUGCCAAUGCUUUAGGGCCCAGUAUUAGUGGUACUGUUUUAUGACGAGAAAAAAAAACAGAAUUUAAAAGAACACUGAAGUUACAUUCAUAUGUUGCUUUUAGUAUGUGGACCAUUCACUUCAAAUGCAAACGGUUCAUCUACACAUCUACAGAGAUGUCUACAUAUAGAUGCUGAGAUAAGAGGCUCAGAGAUCAAAGCCUCUCGUGGGUGGUUCCGCAGGAAAUGCUGGUUAUUGGCGGGGAUGAGGUCUGAUCUUUUUAAACCGAGCGUACUAGUUGUUUACUCACCGUAAAUCAAGCCACGAAUCAUAAGCACUGAUCUAACAUUACUCAGAUGCCGUCACGUAUCAGCGUCGUCAAGAUACGGUAAUCUGUUAUUUCAUGAGACCAUUGCGCCAGCCAAGGAUCUAUGGGUAGUAUGUCGUGGAAGUCCCGGGACGGGCAGAACCGUUUGAUCCAUCGCCCAUGCUGCAUAUUACUUGACAGCUUGUACUGUCAUAUAGGAAUGGAGAAUUGAAACCAAGAGCCGAUUUCGCCACUCUAAUCCUUCGACCUGUUAACCAGUAAACAGCGAUUUUUAUACUUUAAUUGGUGGGUUUUGUGGGGUUUAACGCGGGAUUUAAACUUGUUUUUAACGCACGAACAGAUGAGAUGGGCCUCUGCCAACGCUUUUUCUUAACAGCUGCUGUAUAUGACGGGUUUUAUGUGAAAUAUAUCCAAAGUACCAACGGCUACACCUUAGCUGCAAAGCGGGGUUGUGAUUUUUCAACGCCUAGAUUAAGCCGCAUCAAGAUUAAACGUUCAGUAUGACAGUGCUGUAAACUUUGUGGUCGAGUUCGUGGUCUCACAGGGCAAUGCACCUGCGGAAGGUCGAUCGACAGGUGUUCAUUUCGACGCCGGAAGAUCUGCCAAGCUUGACGACUUAUAAUUGCUCCGAUAACGAAAAACAUAUACCCAGUAAAUUAUGCAAGGUUUUUGCCCAAAGAUUGUGGCCAGAGAUUCCUCGUUUGGGUGAUAUGCUUAUCGCUGAUAACGAGCGUGCGGGACGGUGCGCUUUUGCCAAGCUUCCAGCAUACCAGUUUUACGAGUAGGUAUAUUGUGCGCUACCGGUUUCAUACACAGAAAGUGUUUAAUGUACCUAAAAAAAUGUAUGACACAGAUUUUCUGGUCAGUUUUAAUACAAACACCAAUGCUUUUG